Daucus carota subsp. sativus is the source of this 839-nucleotide long non-coding RNA. RefSeq lists it as uncharacterized. The record is from RefSeq and is a predicted model, not a curated record. The transcript is spliced from 2 exons. Lineage: Eukaryota; Viridiplantae; Streptophyta; Magnoliopsida; Apiales; Apiaceae.
UCAGAUGCAAAUAAUUAAUACAUAUCGGGUCAGGGUAACUUAAUCUAGCUCCAAUUGGAUCCUUUUUGACCCAGCUUUGAAAUGGGGUUUUAGCAAACAUAUUCACAAAAUAAACCCUUUUUUCCUACCCAGUUGGAUGUGAUAAGCAGUUUUUAGAAAUGGCAAAAGGUAUGAUAUGGGCAACAGCUGAAGAUUUGGCUAGGAAUAAAGGUCGGGUUCUGUCAUUGUAUCGCCAGAUAUUGAGGAGCCUAAACUCACCCAAUUUGCCACUGAACUUGGCGGCUCGAUUAUCUAAGAAAGCAGAGGUCCGUGCAAUCUUUAUGGUGGCUGCUGAGGAACGAUCACUACAUAAUGUGGAAGAUCUUAUUGAUACAGGCGAGUACGCUCUCUCCCUCUUGAGGAAAGGUGAAAUCCCGAAAUAUAUUCAGUAAUAUCAAUCUGCUCGUCACUUAUGAAGACUUGUCCUCUCCAUAAAUGUUUUGACAGUUAAAAUGUCUACAUAUGUAUGAAAGUGAAAUCUCGUAUGCAUAUCAUAUUAAAUAUGAUAUGCAAUAGCUUGCUCUCAUUGAUGUGAAAGUUGUAAUAGCUCGCUCUCAUUGAUGGUGAAGUUGUUUUUAGUAUAUUUUUGGUACUUGUUUAGAAAGUUUGAAGGAUCAUAUUAGCUAAUCUAUAUUGUUGGGGUGCCAGUAGCCAAAACUUUUAGUACUUCUAGAGGCGUAUCCAAUGGCUUAGUUCUUGCAACUGCCUAUCGAAAUGUAGAGAUAAAACUAUAAUACAAAUUUGGUGUGGCAUUAUUGUUUUGAUAUCAUCACUGGCAGAAUGUGAUUUUGUGUCUGAUA